Molecule: ribosomal RNA, 467 nt
Filed under: uncultured bacterium
Lineage: Bacteria
Description: partial 16S ribosomal RNA
Rfam family: Bacterial small subunit ribosomal RNA
Source: RNAcentral
GACGAACGCUGGCGGCGUGCUUAACACAUGCAAGUCGAACGGAAAGGCCCUGCUUUUGUGGGGUGCUCGAGUGGCGAACGGGUGAGUAACACGUGAGUAACCUGCCCUUGACUUUGGGAUAACUUCAGGAAACUGGGGCUAAUACCGGAUAGGAGCUCCUGCUGCAUGGUGGGGGUUGGAAAGUUUCGGCGGUUGGGGAUGGACUCGCGGCUUAUCAGCUUGUUGGUGGGGUAGUGGCUUACCAAGGCUUUGACGGGUAGCCGGCCUGAGAGGGUGACCGGCCCCAUGGGGCUGGGGUACCGCCCCGGCCCCUACCGGGGGCAACCGGGGGGGAUUUUUCACCAUGGGCCGGAGCCUGGUGCCACCACGCCGCGGUGGGGAUGACGGCCUUCGGGUUGUAAACCGCUUUCGCCUGUGACGAAGCGUGAGUGACGGUAAUGGGUAAAGAAGCACCGGCUAACUACGUG